This 253-nucleotide ribosomal RNA is filed under the name uncultured bacterium. RNAcentral's name for it is "partial 16S ribosomal RNA". It matches the Rfam family "Bacterial small subunit ribosomal RNA", at positions 524 to 776 of the family's 1533-position model. The record is from RNAcentral.
UACGUAGGGUGCAAGCGUUAAUCGGAAUUACUGGGCGUAAAGCGUGCGCAGGCGGUUAUGUAAGACAGAUGUGAAAUCCCCGGGCUCAACCUGGGAACUGCAUUUGAUACAGCACGUCUCGAGUCCGGAAGAGGUGGGUGGAAUUCCUAGUGUAGAGGUGAAAUUCGUAGAUAUUAGGAAGAACACCGGUGGCGAAGGCGGCCCACUGGUCCGGUACUGACGCUGAGGUGCGAAAGCGUGGGGAGCAAACAGG